CGCACCCCAUACUGUAUACACAAACGGAGGGAAGAGAAAUCCUAGCAGUUCUCUUGAUUCCAUUUCACUGUCGAAACGAUACUGGAGCACUUUUUUUGCACAUACCUAAAGGAAAAUCCCAAAUAACGAGCACCUAGCGACUUUGUUUAAGUGCAAUAGAGGAACUGUACGAGACAGUUUGCCCGUACACGGUGCGUUGCGGAGGGAUUUAGAAAUAAAAACCCAGUGUUGUGCAGUUGCAUUCCCUACCACUUCACUUGCGCUGGAUACGGGGAGGCUUUGACUUUUUUCAUCCCAGUUUCUGUCUCAAAACAACCGUAUUCUCGUCUAAAUCUGCUGAAGAACCUGACGGGUAGACCGUCUAUCUGAUGCUGUCUGGUCCAAACCAAGUAUGACAGUGUUUACCCCGGCUAGCAUUGACAGCAAGAGAAGGCAGCGAGCAUCUGGGCUCCAUCGAGCUCAACUGUGAAGGGUCUUGCCCCAUCAACAAGAAAGGGCUUCCCCAGUGAUUUUACCCAUGCACAGUUACUGCAGGCCCUCCUACACCCAGGUGACAGACUACGGGUUCAGGGCAGAAGCCAUCAUCCCACAGAACAUACUAAAGGCCUGGGGAAGUCAUUAGCCACCACACACAACAGGACACUGAUCUUAUCCGGUCCAGUCCAUUCGUCAGUCC
This is a long non-coding RNA of Oncorhynchus tshawytscha (Chinook salmon), 676 nucleotides long. Lineage: Eukaryota; Metazoa; Chordata; Actinopteri; Salmoniformes; Salmonidae. The record is from Ensembl.